This 253-nucleotide ribosomal RNA is filed under the name uncultured bacterium. RNAcentral's name for it is "partial 16S ribosomal RNA". It matches the Rfam family "Bacterial small subunit ribosomal RNA", at positions 524 to 776 of the family's 1533-position model. The record is from RNAcentral.
UACGUAGGGUGCGAGCGUUGUCCGGAAUUAUUGGGCGUAAAGAGCUUGUAGGCGGUUUGUCGCGUCUGCUGUGAAAAUCCGGGAUUCAACCCCGGACCUGCAGUGGGUACGGGCAGACUAGAGUGUGGUAGGGGAGACUGGAAUUCCCGGUGUAGCGGUGAAAUGCGCAGAUAUCGGGAGGAACACCGGUGGCGAAGGCGGUUCUCUGGGCCUUACCUGACGCUGAGGAGCGAAAGCGUGGGGAGCGAACAGG